AGUAGCGCACUAGCCAGAUACGAGAGGGGAUCGACUGUUUAACAAAAACAUAGCUGCAUGCAAAUCUUGAGUGAAUCGUAAAUGCUGCGAGGCCUGCCCAGUGUCUUUAGUUGAAAUGCGGGAAGGGGAAACUCUUCAUCUGCUACAAGAUCAGAUAAACGGCCGCGGUAACCUUGACCGUGCUAAGGUAGCAAAAUCAAUUGCCUAUUAAUUGUAGGCGAGUAUGAAGGUUUAACGAGUCUCCUACUGUCUCAAGUCCAAUCCCAGAAAAUUGGAAUCGAGGUGAAGAUACCUUGAAAGCUUAGUGGGACGAGAAGACCCUAUAGAGCUUUAUUGAAGCCUUUGCGGGGUGGAGCGGGACCUGGAUCCUGGAAGAGUUACACAUGGGAUAGGAAACUUCUCAACUCAGAUCGAGUAAUGCUUAAACCUGCAAGACCCUUGAUAGGAAGGCUCUCAGUUUAGUUGGGAAAUCUGCCCUUGAAAAUGAAAAAAGGUGCUAAUGACCGCAUGGGGGUAAAAUUAAUAGAUAUCCUCUAUUUAUACGGAUGACUCUUGGGUAUACGUAUCGGGUGAGAAAUCAUGGUUAGAAUUUG
RNAcentral lists this ribosomal RNA (593 nucleotides) under Clathrina clathrus. RNAcentral's name for it is "LSU rRNA". It matches the Rfam family "Bacterial large subunit ribosomal RNA", at positions 1764 to 2421 of the family's 2925-position model. The record is from RNAcentral. Lineage: Eukaryota; Metazoa; Porifera; Calcarea; Clathrinida; Clathrinidae.